CGGUAGCACAGAGAGCUUGCUCUCGGGUGACGAGNGGCGGACGGGUGAGUAAUGUCUGGGAAACUGCCUGAUGGAGGGGGAUAACUACUGGAAACGGUAGCUAAUACCGCAUAACGUCGCAAGACCAAAGAGGGGGACCUUCGGGCCUCUUGCCAUCAGAUGUGCCCAGAUGGGAUUAGCUAGUAGGUGGGGUAACGGCUCACCUAGGCGACGAUCCCUAGCUGGUCUGAGAGGAUGACCAGCCACACUGGAACUGAGACACGGUCCAGACUCCUACGGGAGGCAGCAGUGGGGAAUAUUGCACAAUGGGCGCAAGCCUGAUGCAGCCAUGCCGCGUGUAUGAAGAAGGCCUUCGGGUUGUAAAGUACUUUCAGCGGGGAGGAAGGUGUUGUGGUUAAUAACCNCANCAAUUGACGUUACCCGCAGAAGAAGCACCGGCUAACUCCGUGCCAGCAGCCGCGGUAAUACGGAGGGUGCAAGCGUUAAUCGGAAUUACUGGGCGUAAAGCGCACGCAGGCGGUCUGUCAAGUCGGAUGUGAAAUCCCCGGGCUCAACCUGGGAACUGCAUUCGAAACUGGCAGGCUAGAGUCUUGUAGAGG
RNAcentral lists this ribosomal RNA (599 nucleotides) under bacterium Co.S27. RNAcentral describes it as "bacterial SSU rRNA". It matches the Rfam family "Bacterial small subunit ribosomal RNA", at positions 67 to 657 of the family's 1533-position model. The record is from RNAcentral.